GCUCCAUUAGCUCAGCCGGCAGAGCACUCGACUUUUAAUCGAGCGGCCGUGAGUUCGAAUCUCACAUGGGGCA
This 73-nucleotide transfer RNA is filed under the name Lachnospiraceae bacterium MD308. RNAcentral's name for it is "tRNA-Lys". It matches the Rfam family "tRNA". From Rfam's summary of the family: Transfer RNA (tRNA) molecules are approximately 80 nucleotides in length. Their secondary structure includes four short double-helical elements and three loops (D, anti-codon, and T loops). Lineage: Bacteria; Bacillati; Bacillota; Clostridia; Lachnospirales; Lachnospiraceae. The record is from RNAcentral. RNAcentral also lists the same sequence under 1 other name.